AAGGUCGUCGGCUGCACUCCUUUGCGUCGUAUCUGGUAGGUGCUUUCAUUUCCCCACUAGUUUGUUCUUGUAUGGUUUUGAGCUUUCAUGGUACCGGUUUUACUAAGAAUCUCCCCGGCCCAAGCUGUGAAUAUUUCUUUAACCUUUUCUUACAAAAAAAAUUGGCCUUGCUCCGGCUAGAAAUUUAUUUAAUUAAAAAAAUAGUUUAAAAGCAAAUGCUUUUGUUUUCAAUGAAUUAUCAAGGGAAAUCAAAGUAGUAUCCUAUUGAUAUAUAUCCAGUUGAUAAGGAAGGCUGAUGGCAAAGUUUCAGUGCAUUUUGCUUUCGAUACCCAAUUUAUUUUAUUCUUGGAGAUGCAGCGUUUAUUUAGCUUUUUAUCGAACAGAUUUGGUUGAUUUAUACCUUUGUUUUCGUUUUAUUUCUGUCCUUUUCGUCAUAUAUGCCCUCUCUUGCCCAAGUUUUAUGCCCAUUUCUUCGACUUCGUAUGUGAUCUGAUCUAUGCUCAUUUAGCUCGAUAGAUGAUCGUGGCUGAAGAUGCAAUGUAGAGGCCUGCCUCAAACAAUUUGCUGAAAAUCUGUUGUUUUCAUUUAGUCUAGUUUUCUUAAAUUUGACCUGCGUUUUUUUAUUUUCUGUCACCAAGCAGCCAUUAGUUUGGUUGCUUGUGGUUUUUCUUUUUCUAGGUUUUAAAUAAUUUGGUUGAUUUGAAACUAUUUAAUUUUCCAUUGUCAGCAUCUGUAAUGUUCAUUAGGUCGAUCAUUUCACGAGUUCAAUAUGUUAUAUUUUUGCAUAUGGGUUAUAUUUAAGUAAAUUGAUAUAGUCUGUGAUUUGCUUUACAAAUUCAAAUGGAUAUAUAUAAUGUGCAGAAAUCUCCAUCAAUGUAUUUACUAUUGUCCUUAACAACAAAAACAAAAGGUAAAUAUGCUGCAGUGAUAUACCAUUCUCUUUUAUCACCCAAGUUGGAGAUAGCGAGUGGUGGGUUCAGUUCUUGUUGGCAUGCAGUAAUCUUAUUAGGAUGCAGAAUAAGAGUUUUGAGUUCCUUAUUCUAGUUACUACAAUGUAUAAAUGAUGGAGAAUUCAUCAACCCAGGUAUUCAUAGAUGCAAUUUGGGGUGGAUGGAACACAGCUGGAGCUGUAGUUGGGGAUUUUGGUUUUGUUAUCAUUGAUUAAGGUACAAGUAUUGAUGAAAUUACAAGUACAGCAACCAAGAGCCGAGCAAAGCAUUCGAGGAUAUAGAACUAUUAAUUUAUGUAAAAAUCCUUCGCGGGCUAUAAAAAAAUAUUUAUUGGUUUUCCCAUGCAGUGUGUGGUUUGGACUUUACAUUUGUUUCAUGGGUUGUAAAAAAUAUUUGUGAGUUCAUUUUAACAGAUGUUGGUGUGAUUUUAUAUUAGUAUCAGGUUGAUAGA
This is a long non-coding RNA of Juglans microcarpa x Juglans regia, 1401 nucleotides long. RefSeq lists it as uncharacterized. NCBI's taxonomy places the organism in Eukaryota, Viridiplantae, Streptophyta, Magnoliopsida, Fagales, Juglandaceae. The record is from RefSeq and is a predicted model, not a curated record. The transcript has 2 exons.